Taeniopygia guttata (zebra finch) is the source of this 2082-nucleotide long non-coding RNA. The record is from Ensembl. Lineage: Eukaryota; Metazoa; Chordata; Aves; Passeriformes; Estrildidae.
CAAAGGACGAGGAAAAAAAAUAACUCCGGGAAAUUGGGAGCCCUGUGGAAAAAUCGAUUCCGUUUGAUUUGGCCAACACAGUGGGAAGUCAUUCCCUGUGUCCUGGUGCUCCAGCUCCUGGUGAAGAUUCCCUUUCCAGAUUCCAGGAAUUAUCCUGGCAGGCGACCACAGCAGGACCAUCCUGGAUCCAUCUCACGCUGCUUCCCACGGGAUUUUCCUGUCCUUGCCCAGUAUUCCCAACUCUGCAGCAGAUCCACGGCCUCUGGAGACUCAUUCCUGCUGAUCCAUGUCCUGUCCGUGCCUAACCAGAUGCUAAUUUAUUAAUUAAAUGCUGUGCUUAAUGACAGGGUGAAGAUUAAUGAGGGCAAAUCUCGCAGAGCGUUCCUUGGGAAGAGACAGCUCCAUGCAUCCAACACCACCCUGGGGUUUUUGGGAAGCUCAAAAUUCUCAUGGAAUGUCCUUGGAGAUGCUCCAUGCCAGUCUCCAACCAUUCAGGAUGGAAUUAUUCCCAUGGAAUUGUCCCAAGGCUGGCGCUGCUGGAAGCAGCCCCGGGCGGGAGCAUCGGGACGGGAGCACCAGCUUGGAUUUGUUGGGGCAAGGCUGGAAUGGAGAGAAUUCCUCCCAGAAAAUAAUUCCAUGGACAAAUUUCACCUGGAAGACUUCCUUGUGAGCAGCUUUGGGUUUUCCUGAUCGGAUAAAAAUAAAUUAUGGAAUAACUCCUGCGACAGCUGCUCAGGAAGAGAUUUUCGGGAUGAACUCCGAGCUCUGGCUCCGUUUUCCUUCCAUCCCUUCCCCUUCCUAGCGGGAUGGCUCUGGGAUUGCUGGGGAUGGGCAGCUCUGGAUGCACUUUCUGGAAAGCUCUCUCCAAAAGUUCCUUUGGAUCUGGCUGUUGGCUCCAGCACGGGAGCCAAGAAAUCCAUCAGCAAAAUAUCAAUGGAAAAAAACGGAGUUGGAGGAGCUCAAGAAGAAAUUUGGCUCCUCUGUCGGGAUUGGUGACUGAAAACUAGGAAAUGUUGGGAAUUCAGGCACUGAGAACUGGGAAGUGCUGGGAAUUCAGAUAUUGGGAAAUGUUGGGAAUUCAGGCACUGAGAACUGGGAAUGCUGGGAAUUCAGAUAUUGGGAAAUGUUGGGAAUUCAGGCACUGAGAACUGGGAAGUGCUGGGAAUUCAGAUAUUAGGAAAUUUUGGGAAUUCAGGCACUGAGAACUGGGAAGUGCUGGGAAUUCAGGCACUGAGAGCUGGGAAGUGCUGGGAAUUCAGGCACAGAGAAGUGGGAAGUGUUGGGAAUUCAGGUAUUAGGAAAUUUUGGGAACUCAGACAUUGGGAGAUGCUGGGAGCCAGAAAUUCCACCUGAGUUUCCUUUUUUCCCAGCUCCCUCAGGAUUCUCCAGCCCCUUCCCCAGAUCCAUUCCCUUCCCUGGACACACUCCAGCCCAGAAAAUCCUCCCUGAACUGAGGGAAUAAUUGAUAAUUCCCUUUCCUCAGUAUCUGCUCCAUGGAUCAGUUGCAAUUAAAUAAUUUGGGGCUGCAACAAGAUUUUUAAGGCCCCUCCCAACCCAAACCUCAUUGUAAUUCCAUGGAUAAUGAAUUAUUCCCUGGAUAAUGAAGUUUAGGCGGCUGCCGUGGUGCAGGAAUUCCUGGGAAUCAUUCUGGGAGGAGAAAUCCAAGGAUUGCAGCAGCUCCCUCCUCACUUCGUCUAAAAUUAAAUCCGCUCUCGAGCUGCACUUAAGCAAAACCAGUUGCCAUGGCCACGCCAGGGGCUCCUGGAUGCGGGAAACCAGGAAUUCUGGGAUAAUGAAGGGCUCUGGAAUAUCCUUGGGAAGUCCAUCCACCUGUCAAACCCUCAGUGCCCAGGAACUGGGAAUGGAAAUUCCCCCUCCCUUCCCAUGGCUGCGAUUCGGCUUGAAUUCCCUGGAAUCCUGAGCUCCUGCUGGGAACCGGGACUAUUGGGAAUAUUGGGAAUAUCAGGAAUAUCGGAGAUGGAACAACUCCGUCCUGAUCCAGAGGUUCCCGGAGUAAUUCCAGUGGGAAUUAUUCCUGCUGCUGAGUUUGGACUUCGUUUGUUGAAGAGAGGGAGGGAAAAA